UCGUCUCAUCACCUACGCCGCCAACGAACCCGUUACCGGAACAGUGUUCAAUGACCUUCAGCCUAAUCAAUGACUGGCUUACGCACAAGAAGUGGCGCUAAGCUAACGACAAAAAUCCAGAAAGUGCUUUAAGGAUAAACUCGAAUGUACUCAAGGACUUCGGCGUCAUCUGACUUGGCUAUUGCAAUCCUGGCUCCAACAAGUAUGACACUUGCGUGAUUGCAGCCCGGAUUAAUGUUGAACGAGGACCAGCUGAUCAGCUAAUCCGCCAGCUAGACACCUGUGCAGCGUGCUUUGUAAGAGAAGCUAAGUCUUUGUAAGGAAUAGGCGAACGUAGGUUGUGCAGUAUGCAACGUCACCACAAACGUCUGUACACAACGGCUCCUUCUACGAUCAGACCAUAGACAAAGAGAAAGCUCUCUAACCGGCUUCUUAUCAAACCAUUUUCUGCAAAACACGCUGAGAUUUAUGGCUUUAAUAACGUCACUUAAAUUUCUCUAACAGAGUUCAACCUUUGAGGCUGACUGUA
This is a long non-coding RNA of Varroa destructor (honeybee mite), 529 nucleotides long. The record is from RefSeq and is a predicted model, not a curated record. NCBI's taxonomy places the organism in Eukaryota, Metazoa, Arthropoda, Arachnida, Mesostigmata, Varroidae.